Molecule: transfer RNA, 84 nt
Filed under: Rhodospirillaceae bacterium
Lineage: Bacteria; Pseudomonadati; Pseudomonadota; Alphaproteobacteria; Rhodospirillales; Rhodospirillaceae
Description: tRNA-Leu
Rfam family: tRNA
About the family: Transfer RNA (tRNA) molecules are approximately 80 nucleotides in length. Their secondary structure includes four short double-helical elements and three loops (D, anti-codon, and T loops).
Source: RNAcentral
ACCAAGUUGCCCGAGCGGUCUAAGGGGGUGCACUUAAGAUGCACUGUACGUAUGUACUCGUGGGUUCGAACCCCACACUUGGUA